AACGAACGCUGGCGGCAUGCCUAACACAUGCAAGUCGAACGAGACCUUCGGGUCUAGUGGCGCACGGGUGCGUAACGCGUGGGAACCUGCCCUUAGGUUCGGAAUAACUCCCCGAAAGGGGUGCUAAUACCGGAUAAUGUCUUCGGACCAAAGAUUUAUCGCCUUUGGAUGGGCCCGCGUUGUAUUAGCUAGUUGGUAGGGUAAAAGCCUACCAAGGCGACGAUCCAUAGCUGGUCUGAGAGGAUGAUCAGCCACACUGGGACUGAGACACGGCCCAGACUCCUACGGGAGGCAGCAGUGGGGAAUAUUGGACAAUGGGCGAAAGGCUGAUCCAGCAAUGCCGCGUGAGUGAUGAAGGCCUUAGGGUUGUAAAGCUCUUUUACCCGGGAUGAUAAUGACAGUACCGGGAGAAUAAGCUCCGGCUAACUCCGUG
RNAcentral lists this ribosomal RNA (433 nucleotides) under uncultured bacterium. RNAcentral describes it as "partial 16S ribosomal RNA". It matches the Rfam family "Bacterial small subunit ribosomal RNA", at positions 29 to 507 of the family's 1533-position model. The record is from RNAcentral.